AUACGGAAGGUCCGGGCGUUAUCCGGAUUUAUUGGGUUUAAAGGGAGCGCAGGCGGAGAUGCAAGCGUGACGUCAAAUUUCGGGGCUCAACCCCGUCUCGCGUCGCGAACUGCGUCCCUUGGUUGCGGGAAGGGGAGGCGGAACUCGCGGUGUAGCGGUGAAAUGCAUAGAUAUCACGAAGAACUCCGAUCGCGAAGGCAGCCUUCCGGCCCGUCAACGACGCUCAUGCUCGAAGGUGCGGGUAUCAAACAGGAUUAGAUACCCUGGUAGUCCGCACAGUAAACGAUGGACACCCGCGGUUUGGCCUAUAUGGCUGAGCCGCCAAGCGAAAGCGUUAAGUGUCCCACCUGGGGAGUACGCCGGCAACGGUGUAACUCAAAUGAAUUGACGGGG
RNAcentral lists this ribosomal RNA (393 nucleotides) under uncultured bacterium. RNAcentral describes it as "partial 16S ribosomal RNA". It matches the Rfam family "Bacterial small subunit ribosomal RNA", at positions 523 to 918 of the family's 1533-position model. The record is from RNAcentral.